GAAAUUCGCCUUCAUGAAGCCGGAAUUGCUAGUAAUGGCAGGUCAGCAUACUGCCGUGAAUACGUUCCCGGGCCUUGUACACACCGCCCGUCACACCAUGAGAGUUGGGGAUACCCGAAGCCUGUGAGCUAACUUUAUAAGGAGCAGCAGUCGAAGGUAGAAUCAAUGAUUGGGGUGAAGUCGUAACAAGGUAGC
Molecule: ribosomal RNA, 195 nt
Filed under: uncultured bacterium
Lineage: Bacteria
Description: partial 16S ribosomal RNA
Rfam family: Bacterial small subunit ribosomal RNA
Source: RNAcentral